UGGGGAAUAUUGGCACAAUGGGCGAAAGCCUGAUGCAGCGACGCCGCGUGAGGGCAUGACGGCCUUCGGGCUUGUAAAACCUCUUUCAGCAGGGAAGAAGCGAAAGUGACGGUACCUGCAGAAGAAGCGCCGGCUAACUACGUGCCAGCAGCCGCGGUAAUACGUAGGGCGCAAGCGUUGUCCGGAAUUAUUGGGCGUAAAGAGCUCGUAGGCGGUUAGUCGCGUCUGCUGUGAAAACUCGAGGCUCAACCUCGGGCUUGCAGUGGGUACGGGCUGACUAGAGUGCGGUAGGGGUGACUGGAAUUCCUGGUGUAGCGGUGGAAUGCGCAGAUAUCAGGAGGAACACCGAUGGCGAAGGCAGGUCACUGGGCCGCAACUGACGCUGAGGAGCGAAAGCAUGGGGAGCGAACAGGAUUAGAUACCCUGGUAGUCCAUGCCGUAAACGUUGGGCACUAGGUGUGGGGUCCA
RNAcentral lists this ribosomal RNA (468 nucleotides) under uncultured bacterium. RNAcentral describes it as "partial 16S ribosomal RNA". It matches the Rfam family "Bacterial small subunit ribosomal RNA", at positions 355 to 831 of the family's 1533-position model. The record is from RNAcentral.